RNAcentral lists this ribosomal RNA (466 nucleotides) under uncultured bacterium. RNAcentral's name for it is "partial 16S ribosomal RNA". It matches the Rfam family "Bacterial small subunit ribosomal RNA", at positions 28 to 507 of the family's 1533-position model. The record is from RNAcentral.
GAUGAACGCUGGCGGCGUGCUUAACACAUGCCAGUCGAACGAUGAAGCCCAGCUUGCUGGGUGGAUUAGUGGCGAACGGGUGAGUAACACGUGAGUAACCUGCCCUUAACUCUGGGAUAAGCCUGGGAAACUGGGUCUAAUACCGGAUAGGAGCGUCCACCGCAUGGUGGGUGUUGGAAAGAUUUAUCGGUUUUGGAUGGACUCGCGGCCUAUCAGCUUGUUGGUGAGGUAAUGGCUCACCAAGGCGACGACGGGUAGCCGGCCUGAGAGGGUGACCGGCCACACUGGGACUGAGACACGGCCCAGACUCCUGCGGGAGGCAGCAGUGGGGAAUAUUGCACAAUGGGCGCAAGCCUGAUGCAGCGACGCCGCGUGAGGGAUGACGGCCUUCGGGUUGUAAACCUCUUUCAGUAGGGAAGAAGCGAAAGUGACGGUACCUGCAGAAGAAGCACCGGCUAACUACGUG